RNAcentral lists this ribosomal RNA (253 nucleotides) under uncultured bacterium. RNAcentral's name for it is "partial 16S ribosomal RNA". It matches the Rfam family "Bacterial small subunit ribosomal RNA", at positions 524 to 776 of the family's 1533-position model. The record is from RNAcentral.
UACAGAGGUCCCAAGCGUUGUUCGGAUUCACUGGGCGUAAAGGGUGCGUAGGCGGGUCUUUAAGUCAGGGGUGAAGUCCUGGAGCUCAACUCCAGAACUGCCUUUGAUACUGAAGAUCUUGAGUUCGGGAGAGGUGAGUGGAACUGCGAGUGUAGAGGUGAAAUUCGUAGAUAUUCGCAAGAACACCAGUGGCGAAGGCGGCUCACUGGCCCGAUACUGACGCUGAGGCACGAAAGCGUGGGGAGCAAACAGG